GGUUAAGUGACUAAGCGUACACGGUGGAUGCCUGGGCAGUCAGAGGCGAUGAAGGACGUACUAACUUGCGAUAAGCGCAGAUAAGGCAGUAAGAGCCGUUUGAGUCUGCGAUUUCCGAAUGGGGAAACCCAACUGCAUAAGCAGUUACUGUUAACUGAAUACAUAGGUUAACAGAGCAAACCGGGGGAACUGAAACAUCUAAGUACCCCGAGGAGAAGAAAUCAACCGAGAUUCCGGUAGUAGCGGCGAGCGAACCUGGAUUAGCCCUUAAGCACUCGGUGAAGUAGGUGAACAAGCUGGAAAGCUUGGCGAUACAGGGUGAUAGCCCCGUAACCGACGCUUCAUCGAGCGUGAAAUCGAGUAGGGCGGGACACGUGAUAUCCUGUCUGAAUAUGGGGGGACCAUCCUCCAAGGCUAAAUACUCCUGACUGACCGAUAGUGAACCAGUACCGUGAGGGAAAGGCGAAAAGAACCCCUGUGAGGGGAGUGAAAUAGAACCUGAAACCGUGUACGUACAAGCAGUAGGAGCACCUUCGUGGUGUGACUGCGUACCUUUUGUAUAAUGGGUCAGCGACUUA
Molecule: ribosomal RNA, 578 nt
Filed under: Vibrio cholerae
Lineage: Bacteria; Pseudomonadati; Pseudomonadota; Gammaproteobacteria; Vibrionales; Vibrionaceae
Description: partial 23S ribosomal RNA
Rfam family: Bacterial large subunit ribosomal RNA
Source: RNAcentral